This 638-nucleotide ribosomal RNA is filed under the name uncultured eukaryote. Its description in RNAcentral is "eukaryotic LSU rRNA". The stretch from base 207 to 361 matches the Rfam family "5.8S ribosomal RNA". The record is from RNAcentral.
UCCGUAGGUGAACCUGCGCGAAGGAUCAUUAACACGUAUCCAUUUCAACACCUGAAACUAACUGUGGUUCCUCUGCAGACGUUAACUCGGCUCAGAGUGUAACCGGGGGUGUCUAUCGGGGUUCAGCUCGGCUGGCCUUGGGUAGGCAUCAUCUGUUAACCUUACAACUUCAUUUAUUUCAUUGGAAAAGCUUGUAAUUUCUUUACAACUUUCAGCGAUGGAUCCCUCGGCUCGGGUAACGAUGAAGGACGCAGCAAAAUGCGAUAGGCGCUGUGAAUGGCAGAAUUCCGCGAAUCAAUAGAAUGCUGAACGCAUACUGCACUUUGAGGCCAUUCCUCAAAGUAUGCUUGGUUCAGGGCACUAAUACUAUACUGCAAUCUGCAUUGCCUGCUUUCGAGCUCGCUUGUUUAGAUUGUCGUUUCUGUGUGUCAGCGACGUGUUAAUUCCCGUUGACGCAUCAAAUGCAGUAGUUGGUUCUAACUAAGUUCAUUCGCUUGGUGCUGACCUCACGGUCUCUACUUCAGCGCGUGGUUUGGUUGGACGCGAUCGGCUACUUCAAAGCAACGUAAGGAUUUCGGUCCUUUUUGUUCGUGCAUGAACUCAAGUAAGGCUACCCGCUGAAUUUAAGCAUAUCAAUA